GAUGAACGCUAGCGGCAGGCUUAAUACAUGCAAGUCGAGGGGCAUCAAGGUACACGAAAGUGUAUUGUUGGCGACCGGCGGACGGGUGAGUAAUAGGUAGGUAACCUACCUCAUACUGAGGCAUAGCUGGGAGAAAUUCCAGGUAAUUCCUCAUGAGGUUAUAUGACACAUGUGAUAUAAUCAAAGGUAUCGCAAGGUACUGGUAUGAGAUGGGCUUACUGACCAUUAGCUAGUUGGUGAGAUAAGAGCUCACCAAGGCGAAGAUGGUUAGGGGUUUUGAGAGAGAGAUCCCCCACAUUGGAACUGAGAUACGGUCCAGACUCCUACGGGAGGCAGCAGUAGGGAAUAUUGGGCAAUGGGCGGAAGCCUGACCCAGCCAUGCCGCGUGAAGGAAGACGGCCUUAUGGGUUGUAAACUUCUUUACUAUGCGACUAACUAGAUUUACGAGAUAAUUCUAUAGAAUGUAGCAUAGCAAAAAGCACGG
This 484-nucleotide ribosomal RNA is filed under the name uncultured bacterium. RNAcentral's name for it is "bacterial SSU rRNA". It matches the Rfam family "Bacterial small subunit ribosomal RNA", at positions 28 to 495 of the family's 1533-position model. The record is from RNAcentral.